RNAcentral lists this long non-coding RNA (3947 nucleotides) under Mus musculus (house mouse). Its description in RNAcentral is "shlncRNA-EC13". Lineage: Eukaryota; Metazoa; Chordata; Mammalia; Rodentia; Muridae. The record is from RNAcentral.
UGGUUUUUCGAGACAUGGUUUCUCUGUAUAGCCUUGGAUGUCCUGGAACUCACUUUGUAGACCAGGUUGGCCUUGAACUCAGAAAUCUGCCUGCCUCUGCCUCCCAAGUGCUGGAAUUAAAGGCGUGCGCCACCACGCCUGGCUUUCAAAUAAAUUUAUAAUGAAAUUAUUAUAAUGUAAUACUAUAAUGAAAAAUUUUAAAAUACUUUUGAUAAUGUUUUUGAUUAAGGUGUGUGUAUGCAAACUCAGAAAUUUGAGUAAUACUUGUUAGACUUCCUAAUUAUAAAAUGUCUAAUAAAACCUGUAAGCCAAUCUAAUAUAUAGAAUUUUGUAGAUUCUUUAUAAUCACAGAAAAGGAACAGUUUACAGAUUAUAUUGUGGUGCAAUAUAAUAAUAUUGUAAGUAUUACUCAAAUGAUGUACUGAAGGAUUUAAUUUAUGCCUUGUGUAUCUCUGUCUCCUUUCAGUAGCUGUGAUAGAAGCCAUUGGUCACAUACACUGAAAUAAUUUUUCUAUAAAUAUUUUAUCUAGAGGAAAAAAUUCUGCCUGUAGGUUUGUUUUGUAAUUCUUAGUAUAUGUUAAAUGGUGCUUUUUAAUGUUUGGUUUUAGCCUAUUGUUUUCUUACCCUGUACUCUAUAGUACAUUCUCCAGUCUUAAUGACUGCAUUCCUAUUUCGAUUAGUGUUUUUUUUUUAAGAUUAAUUUAUUUAUUUUAUAUGAGUACACUGUAGCUGUCUUCAGACACUCCAGAAGAGGACAUCAGAUCCCAUUGCACCUGGUUGUCAGCCAUCAUGUGGUUGCUGGGAUUUGAACUCAGGACCUUCAGAAGAGCAGUCGGUGCUCUUAAGAGCCAUCUUACCAGCCCUUGAUUAGUUUUUAGUAUGGAAGUUUGCAUGAGGUUUCAUUUGAAAGUUGGAUUGUGCUUUCUAGAAAUGAUAACCACUGUAGUUCUGAAGUUUGAUCUUACCACUCUACUGUUAACGCAUCAUGAUAAUGUGGCUUUAUUUAUUGUUGUUGCUUGCACUGCUAAUAAGACUUUUCUUUAUCCAGCUCCUGAUUCAUUUUUCAUCUCUUAAUUACUUUCAUUACCUUUCCAUGUAAACUCUGAAUUCUAGUCCUGUAUAAAUUGUUUUCUGCUCUCUGACUGGAAAAAGGUACUUCUGCCUUUGCACAUCAAAUCACCACCAUCCAGUUAGCCAGACUAUUUGAUCCUUUAGAACUUUGGUGAUAUCUCCAGAAAAAUACUUGAUACAUUAUUUUAUAACUAUGACCUGGGAAGAGCAGAAACCAUCCAGUUUACCUUGUUUCUAUAUUGCAUGGUGUUCAUUCAGUAUUCAUAUAGCUACUGAGUGAUUGUAUUCAGAAUUUGAGAGAUAGCAGAACUGCUUUAAUGUAUACUCGUGUGAAUAAAACAUCCAUUCUGUGGAAAGGAACUAGCAAGUGUCAGGCAUUAUGCUAAACAUAAAAAAUGGUACUUAGGAGUACUUACAAAGAAUAAUAAAGCUUAGAGAUUCAUUGUUGGGAAACAAUAGAUUAGAUACUAGAGGUUUCUGAGAUGUCCUAGAGUUAGUCAUCUUAUCCUAAAAUUUGAUUGUGAAAGCACUUUAAUAAUUCUAUACCAUUUUGGCUGCCUGUGAAAUAGUUUUUCAUAAGUGAUUAAAGUUAACAGACUCAAAAGGGAAUUCAAGUGUCAAAGUAUAUAAUAUCCACACUCAUAAAGGUUAAAAAUGGGCCUGAAGCUAUCCAUCUAAAUUCGUUUCCCCCUGCCUGUUAUUAGCUAUGUGAUAUGGCAAACUAUUUGAUCAUUCUCUGCUUCCCUUUCCUCACUUGUAAAAUGAAGAUGAGUAUUACUUGUGAAGAAUAUGUAUGAAUUAAUACAUGUUAAGCACUUAGAAGAAUAUGUGAUAUCAUGAAUACUCCAUACAAGAUAUCAUUUUAAAGAAGUACCCAGUCUCAGAUUUUACUUUCCUCAGUCGGUUUUUCACAAUCAGUUGCAGUCUGAAAAUAUUAAACUGAUAAUUUCAGAAAUAGUGCAUAGGUUUUCAUGCCAUUCUGUAGCAUGAUAAAAUCUUACACUGUCCCAAGAAGGUGUGACUCAUUCUUUUAUCCAGGCAAUGUAUCUGUGCUGUAUCUGCUACCUACUACAGUGCAGGCUGUCUCAUCACCUAUCUAGUAUUGCAGUGUGUUUAGCCAGGCACUAUUACUUUCUCCAUAUUGUGUAGUCAUUGUGUGAUUUCCUAUCACAUGCUAAGAAAAGUACAGUACAAGAAGAUUUAUGUGAGACUACCUUAACAAAUAUUUUAUUACAGAAUGUCACUAUAAGUAUCUUACUAGUUUUUAUCCUUAAUCUUUGCUGUCCCUAAUCUGUAAAUUAAACAUUAUCGCUGGGCGUGGUGGCGCACACCUUUAAUCCCAGCACUUGGGAGGCAGAGGCAGGUGGAUUUCUGAGUUCGAGGCCAGCCUGGUCUACAAAGUGAGUUCCAGGACAGCCAGGGCUACAGAGAAACCCUGUCUCGAAAAACAAAAACAAAAACAAAAACAAAAAACAUUAUCAUCAGUAUGUAUGCAUAGAGGAUAGCAUAGUAUAUGUAAGAUUCAGUAUUUUUUAAUGCAGGUAUCCAUCCACUCAGAGUCUUGGGACAUACUCUCUGAAAAUAAGUUAUAUGUGUGAAGGCUCGUUACCCUGUCUUUAAACAGACCCUUGUUUUGGCAUAUCCACAGCAUAGCUCUUUACUGACUCAUUUCUCUUCUCUUUAGUGGACUAGAGACUAUUCCUGUUAGAUGGAUUGGCGUGGGAGAUUUGAAACUAUGUUGUCUUCUCUAUCCUGACCUAUAUGAUUCUUCAUUGAACCCACAGAGAAGGUGGGAAAAAGGAGUGAGCCUAGGAAUAUGGUGACAAGUUAUUUUGUUAAUUAAUGUUUUUCUUAUAUUUUGAUCAUAUUUCCUCCUGUUUCCCCAUUCCUCUCAGAUCUUACCACCUCCCUACCUACCUAAGUUCAUGUUCUUUUUCUUAUUGUCAAAGCAAAAGAAAAAAAAUUAAAACAGAUAAGCUGGAAGAAAGUUAAUAAUAAAGAAUAACAAAAUAAAAGUGCACACAAAACAAAACCAUGGAGUCAUUUUGCUUUGGUCAACUACUGCUGGACAGUCUAUCACUUGAAUGUGAUUGACAUACACAGUGAUACUCCUUGGGGAAAACUGAUUUUCUCUUUCCCGACAGGUGCCAAUUACAUUGUGUUCACUUCCCCUUCUCAGUUCUGGGAUUUUGCACUGACAAGUUCUUUAACAAGCCUGAGUGUGUACAACCUAAGUCCUAAACUUAGUACUUAAUAGAGGGAAACUAAUAGAAGAAACAAAAGCAAAAUGUUUCGGUGUUGUUUUGUAAGCAAAGCCAAGGCGGGUAUUGUUCCUCUUCUUACCCACUUAGUUCAUUUCCAUGGCCCACAUUCCUAACCUAGUUCAGCUAAGGAUAGGGAGGAAGAUAUUAGAAUCUUUCUCAGCAUAGAGUUACUGCCAGCAAAACUUGUGUCUAAAUUAAGACAGUUUGGUUAAUGAGAAACUUCAAUUCUAAUAGUACUAUCACUUAGGACUGUCUGGGAAAACUGAGAUGUAUGGUCAAUCUACUUUUUAGAUUGUUAUUUAUUAUUAAUUUUGAAAUUCUGGAUUUGUGGAGAAGAAAGAAAACAUAUACAUCUGGUAGAAAAAUGUGUCCAUGUGGAGUAACAUAGAAAAGUUUGUAUUGAAUCUUUUCUAAUUAGAUAAUUCAAGAGACAUUACUAUCUUCCCUUAUUAACUAGUAUUGUUUACUUUAUUGUUUGUCUUUUCCCCCCAAGAUGUCACAGUUGUCAUUCAGCUCCGCAGUUGUGAAAGUCGGUAGCGGAAGCAAUGACUGACCAUUUGCUCUGUUCCUUUGUAGCUUGCUGUCAGAAAGUCUGUGUCUGUAAACAUCCCC